Molecule: long non-coding RNA, 884 nt
Organism: Bos taurus (domestic cattle)
Lineage: Eukaryota; Metazoa; Chordata; Mammalia; Artiodactyla; Bovidae
Source: Ensembl
GCCGGGAGCUGACUACCUUUGAUUUCCAAUGACGCAAGCCAGAGGAGUCACUAGUAUGGACUGCAGGGACCAGGUCAGGGAGUGAGAACACGGGUGUUUGUACCUGUCAGGGAGCAUCAUCUGGGGUGCUCCAGGCGUCGGAUCAGAAGAGACCCUCACUCCGCCCUGCCUCAGGACCCAGGUGUUCUAGAUGUGUGUGGUACUGCUUGUCCCUCCCUCCUAGGGUCACGAAGAUGCUGAAAGAGCAAACCUCUAGGCAGUAUUUAAAGUCUGUAAGACAAGACUCCAGGAGAACUGAAACGAAGGAUGUGAAAGUGGUGGUGGAUGAAGAGAUGGGGGAAACUCCACUAUACCUCCAGGGCACACAGGUCUUAUUCUGGCCCCCGGAGAGACAGUGGGAGCAAGGUUGUGGCGAUAUGCUCCUAGACCUCAAAGGAAUCAACAGCACUCGCAUUUCUGAAAUCUGUUAAGAGGAUUCCGAAGAAAAAGCAAGCAGGUUCACAGUUCUCAACUCAACCGAGGACAGCUCUGCCCCUCAGGGGACCUUUGGGAAUGAGUGGCGUUUGUUUGCCCCUCAGUGAAUGUUGACUAAGGACGUUGAGCAUCCUGAAAGGCGCAGCACAGUAAGACACAGUGAGAACUGUCCUUACCCAAAUACCAACAGUGCGCUGUCUGGAAACACAGCACCCACAUCAACCCUGACUGGCAUCACUGGUCUGUCUCUUCAACUCCGUCUACCCGCUGAGGUUGGCGGUGGCUUCAUUAUUUUCUCAAGUCAGAGCAGAACUGUGGCCGGUUCCUCACAGUUGGCAUUGGGAAUUUGCCAUCCCUGAUUACAGACUUACUCCUUUUUUUUUUUUCUGGGAAACUGAGAUAAGGAGAGG